Molecule: ribosomal RNA, 492 nt
Filed under: uncultured bacterium
Lineage: Bacteria
Description: partial 16S ribosomal RNA
Rfam family: Bacterial small subunit ribosomal RNA
Source: RNAcentral
AGUGAACGCUGGCGGUAGGCCUAACACAUGCAAGUCGAACGGCAGCACAGUAAGAGCUUGCUCUUACGGGGGGCGAGUGGCGGACGGGAGAGGAAUACAUCGGAAUCUACUUUUUCGUGGGGGAUAACGUAGGGAAACUUACGCUAAUACCGCAUACGACCUACGGGUGAAAGCAGGGGAUCUUCGGACCUUGCGCGAUUGAAUGAGCCGAUGUCGGAUUAGCUAGUGGGCGGGGUAAAGGCCCACCAAGGCGACGAUCCGUAGCUGGUCUGAGGGGAAGAUCUGCCACACUGGAACUGAGACUCGUUCCUGACUCCUACGUUAGGGAGCAGUCCGCAAUAUUUGACAAUGGUCGCAAGCCUUAUCCAGUCAGACCGCGUCUGAGACGAAAGCCUUCGGGGUGUGAUGCCCUUUUGUUGGCAAAGAAAAGCAUCCGGUUAUUACCCCGCUUUUCUGACGGUACCCAAAGAAUAAGCACCGGCUAACUUCGUG